Paralichthys olivaceus (Japanese flounder) is the source of this 1042-nucleotide non-coding RNA. Lineage: Eukaryota; Metazoa; Chordata; Actinopteri; Pleuronectiformes; Paralichthyidae. The record is from RefSeq and is a predicted model, not a curated record.
CUGUGAAGGAGCUCGUGUGGACGCGCUCGACCGAGCAGGCAGGACCCCGCUGCAUCUCGCUCGUUCCAAGCUCAACAUUCUGCAGGAGGGAGAUUCUCGCAGCUUAGAAACCCUGAGAGGGGAAGUCACACAGAUAAUACAAAUGUUGAGGGAAUACCUGAACUUAAUGGGCCAGAGUGAAGCUAAAGAGAGGCUGGAACACAUUUCCACGCGGCUGCAGCACACGCGCACCAAAGAGCAGGUGGAUGAGGUGACGGAUUUAUUGGCCAGUUUUACAUCACUCAGUCUACAGAAACAGAAUUUGGGGGAUAGGUAGAAGACUAAGUUUAUAGAGAGCUGAGGUCCUGCUCUGCUUCACUAACCUUCAUCAGACAAGAACACCUGGACCACGAUACUGUAGUUUUCUGUGCAUGUUCCACAUUAAAUAUUAACCUACAGUACUAGUGUACUGGACAGUUACAUUUAAACAUCUGGUCAUUUCAUUUAUUCGUGAACGUAGUGUAUAACAGCAAUACUGACAAAAGUAGUGUUACCCUGGUUAAAUUGAAAAGAUGCUCAGAUCUCAAUAGCGUGUACAACACUGCAGUGGAGUUGACAACCAUUCUGCAUAUGGACGUUACUCACAUUAGCUUUUCAGAUAAAAGAUAAAAGAAGGCCCUAAAGGCAAAAUACUUUCAGAACAGGAAGCUAUUGGAGACAGAACCUCACCCAGUGCAGCGGGACCUCGGCUCUCUAUUGUGUGUGUGUGUGUGUGUGAGAGUUAGUCUCUCACAGUGAUGUGUGUGUUCUGACAUGCUCUCAUGUUGCCUGCCAUUAUUAGUCACAGCUCUGUGAUCACUGUGUAGUUCUUAAGAAAUGAGUUAACAGUUUCCCCCCCCCGUGGUGACUUACUCUGGAUUUGUGUUCAGCACCACGUUUGCAUCACGAUGCCUUUUUCUCUUGUGUUGCAUGUCGAUAUGUUUGUACGUGAACUGUGACGUGUAAAAAUUGGUUCGGUUGUUUGGAUAUUUGUGAAUCAAUAAAUCAGUAUGUUUGUCUACAA